CGACAAGCUGGAAAAGGGCGUAUGGGGAAUGCCUAGGCUCUCAGAGGCGAAGAAGGACGUGAUAAGCUGCGAAAAGCCGCGGGGAUCGGCACAUACGAUAUGAUCCGCGGAUAUCCGAAUGGGGCAACCCGGCAUGUUGAAGACAUGUCACGGCCGUAAGGCCGAGCGAACCCGGUGAACUGAAACAUCUAAGUAGCCGGAGGAAGAGAAAACAAAAGUGAUUCCGAUAGUAGCGGCGAGCGAAAUCGGAUUAGCCCAAACCGUUGUUGUUUCGGCAACAACGGGGUUGUAGGACCACGCUGUUCGAGUGUUGAUGAACUAGAACGCUUUGGAAAGAGCGGCCAUAGACGGUGAUAGCCCGGUAUAGGUAAAGAUGCAUUAGAUAGUGGUAUCCUGAGUAGUGCGGGGCACGUGAAACCCUGUAUGAAUCCGGCGGGACCAUCCGCCAAGGCUAAAUACUCCUGAGAGACCGAUAGUGAACCAGUACCGUGAGGGAAAGGUGAAAAGAACCGUGAACAACGGAGUGAAAUAGAUCCUGAAACCAUACGCCUACAAGCGGUCGGAGCCCUUCGGGGUGACGGCGUGCCUUUUGCAUAAUGAGCCUACGAGUUACUUUUACCGGCAAGGUUAAGUCCUUUAGGGACGGAGCCGCAGCGAAAGCGAGUCUUAAUAGGGCGCCAUAGUCGGUAGUAGUAGACGCGAAACCGUGCGAUCUACCCAUGGGCAGGCUGAAGCUGUGGUAACACAUAGUGGAGGGCCGAACCCGUUGACGUUGAAAAGUCUUGGGAUGACCUGUGGGUAGGGGUGAAAGGCCAAUCAAGCUCGGAAAUAGCUCGUACUCCCCGAAAUGCAUUUAGGUGCAGCGUGUUAUUAGUUUCAUAGAGGUAGAGCUACUGAUUGGAUGCGGGGGCUUCACCGCCUACCAAUUCCUGACAAACUCCGAAUGCUAUGAAACGAUGUAACGCAGUGAGGGCAUGGGUGCUAAGGUCCAUGUCCGAGAGGGAAAGAACCCGGACCAUCGGCUAAGGUCCCCAAAUAUAUGCUAAGUUGACAAAACGCGGUGGAACUGCAUUGACAGCCAGGAUGUUGGCUUGGAAGCAGCCAUUCAUUUAAAGAGUGCGUAACAGCUCACUGGUCGAGCGGUUCCGCAUGGAUAAUGAUCGGGCAUAAGCAUAUUACCGAAGCCAUGGGCCCGCAAGGGCGGUAGGGGAGCAUCGUGCCUGCGUCGAAGGGAUACCUGCGAGGGGUCCUGGAGCGUGCACGAACGAAAAUGUAGGCAUAAGUAACGAUAAUGCGGGCGAGAAACCCGCACGCCGAAAGACCAAGGUUUCCCCAGCUAUGCUAAUCAGCUGGGGGUCAGUCGGGACCUAACGCGAACCCGAAAGGGGCAGUGGAUGGACAACGGGUUAAUAUUCCCGUACCCGCACAUCGCCAAAAGUGACGGAGGCGAGAAGUUGGUGCGUGCAGACGGAAUUGCACGUUGAAGGGAGCGGCAACGCCCCGAUAGUACGCCGAGGCUACGGCCAAGGCGAUAAUCCAGCGUAUCGACUUCCAAGAAAAGCGAGAUGUGCGGCCCGUACCGUAAACCGACACAGGUGGUCGGGAUGAGUAUUCUAAGGCGCUCGAGAGAUUCAUGGCUAAGGAACUAGGCAAAAUAGACCCGUAACUUCGGGAGAAGGGUCGCCCCCCUCCGGGGGGGCCGCAGUGAAGAGGUCCAGGCGACUGUUUAUCAAAAACACAGGGCUCUGCAAAUUCGAGAGAAGAAGUAUAGGGCCUGACACCUGCCCGGUGCCGGAAGGUUAAGAGGAGAUGUCAUUCCUUCGGGGAGAAGCAUUGAAUUGAAGCCCCGGUAAACGGCGGCCGUAACUAUAACGGUCCUAAGGUAGCGAAAUUCCUUGUCGGGUAAGUUCCGACCUGCACGAAUGGUGCAACGAUCUGGACACUGUCUCGGCCAUGAGCUCGGUGAAAUUGUAGUAUCGGUGAAGAUGCCGGUUACCCGCAGUGGGACGAAAAGACCCCGUGCACCUUUACUAUAGCUUCGUAUUGACCUUGGUCAAACAAUGUGUAGGAUAGCUGGGAGGAUUUGAAGCGGCGUCGCCAGGCGUUGUGGAUCCGUUGUUGAAAUACCAGCCUUUGUUUGAUCGGGGCCUAACCCUCAUAAGAGGGAACAGUGCG
This 2175-nucleotide ribosomal RNA is filed under the name Maribacter algicola. Its description in RNAcentral is "Maribacter sp. PoM-212 partial 23S ribosomal RNA". It matches the Rfam family "Bacterial large subunit ribosomal RNA", at positions 1 to 2258 of the family's 2925-position model. The record is from RNAcentral. Lineage: Bacteria; Pseudomonadati; Bacteroidota; Flavobacteriia; Flavobacteriales; Flavobacteriaceae.